RNAcentral lists this long non-coding RNA (3359 nucleotides) under Brassica napus (rape). Its description in RNAcentral is "long non-coding RNA (BNAP_LNC016483)". The record is from RNAcentral. Lineage: Eukaryota; Viridiplantae; Streptophyta; Magnoliopsida; Brassicales; Brassicaceae.
UUUCAACCAACUAGGAAUGAUUUAUACGUAUGCUCAUGCUUUCUUUCUUCUAUAGUGACUAUACAAAUCAUAUUUAAUCUAUACAGAAACCAAGUAAGUUAACACGACUGCACCGGUGGAGGUAAAUCGCCGCACGUGGCGGACACAAUCACUUUCCCGGCACGUUCUCCCGACUCUAUCAGCAUCAACACUACUUCCCUCAUCGUAGGUCGAUCAGACGGCGAAGCUUUAGUACAGAGCACAGCAAUUUUCGUAACCGUGAUCAUGUGAGCAAGAAUCACAUCGUCUUCUACCUUUGUUAAAUAAGGAUCAAGUAUCUCACAUGUCAAGGAAUGAUCUCUGAUAUGGUUUCUUGUCCACGUGGCAAGAUCUCCACCUUGGUCAAUCGGUUGAACCGGAGUCUUUCCGGUUAACAACUCAAGAAGUACAACUCCGAAGCUGUAGAUAUCGCAUUUCUCCGUUACUUUCAUUGUGUAUGCAUACUCUGCAAAACAAAAUAAACCGGUUUUGAGGUUAAGUCCGGUUAAUCUAAAUAUCUAAACCGUAAGAACAUACUUGUUUGAUAUUACCGGUUAUCCCAGAAUCUAAUUGUCUAAACCGUAAGAUCAUUAACGUUUCGAGAUUAACAUCCGUUAAUUCAAAAUCUAAAUGUCUAAACAGUAAGAUAAUACAUGUUUUGAGAUUAAUCCCGGUUGACUAAGAAUCUAAAUGUCUAAACCGCAACAACAUAACCCCGGUUAACUCAGAAUCUAAAUGUCUAAACCGUAAAAAAAUACCGGUUUUGAGAUUAAACCCGGUUAACCAAUUCUCUAAACCGUAAAACCAAACCGGUUUUGAGAUUAGCCACGGUCAAUUCAGAAUCUAAAUCUCUAAACCGUAGGAACAAACCCGUUUUGAGAUUAGUUAACUCAGAAUAUAAAUGUCUAAACGGUAGGAACAUACCGGGAGCAAUGUAACCAUAUGAACCAGCAACGGCUGAGACAGAUUUGGACACUGGCAUGUCAAUGACCUUAGCCAAACCAAAAUCUCCGACAUGAGCUUCAAAGUUCUCAUCAAGCAAAAUGUUGUUAGACUUGAUGUCACGGUGAAUGAUCCUCGGUUUACAAUCAUGAUGCAAGUAAGCAAGACCUUCCGCCGCACCGAGCGCGAUCCCAAACCGAGUCGGCCAGUCAAGACCAUACGACUUCCCUCCGUGCAGAAUCUCACCCAAGCUUCCUCGAGACAUGUACUCGUACAGCAAGAGAUUCGAGUUCGAGACCUGGUGGUAACAGAAACUGUACAGCCUCACAAUGUUCCUGUGCCGGAUCUUUCCUAGCGUAAGAAUCUCCGCGCGGAAACUGUUAUCCGUGUUAUUGUUGUUACCGCCUUCUCUAUUCGAUCCGAGCUUUUUAACCGCGAUGGUUUUACCCGACGGCAUAACCGCUUUGUAAACCGUCCCGCACGCUCCUUUACCGAUGAUGUAGCUUUCGUGGAACCCCUUCGUCGCCUCGAGGAUGUCUUUAACGGUGAACCGUUCUUUCGGGACGAAGUAGAUGUCAGAUUCUUCGAAAAACGGUUCCUUGUCGCGCACGUAAGGAGGCUUUGUACCCUCCACAGGGUGUUGUCUAAGGAAAUGAACCACGAUAGCUAUGAGGAAAAGAGAUACACCGCCGACGACGGAAGACAAGAUGACAAUGAUCCUCCGGCGACGCGCGGAGCCUGAUCUGAGAGGCGAAAGGUUACUCCAAGAAGAGAGGUUAGAGUCGCAGCUUCUCAAAUGCCCGCCGCAGAGUCCUUUAUCUCCGAGGAAGCUAGUUAGAGUCAUGUUUUGAAAGAGCGGCGUGAGCGGAAGCGGGCCGGUCAAGUUGUUGUAGGAGAAGUUGCAGCCGAGUAGGCUCGAUAAGUUCUCGAACGUCGUCGGGAUCUCGCCGCUCAAGUGGUUGUUGUUAAGAGAAAGGUACAUAAGUAGAUAAAGAUUCCCGAGCUCAGGCGGUAUCUGACCGCUGAAGUCGUUGUAGCUCAAGUUCAUCGCGAUUUGGAGACUCGAGAGGGAGCCUAGCUGAGGCGGUAUGCUCCCUGAAAACAAGUUUCCACCCAUCUGUAGCUCGGUUAGAUGCGUGAGGUUACCGAUGGUGAACGGUAUGUAGCCGGAUAAUCUAUUGUCGUUGAGUCUGAGGAUCUCUAGCUGAUGUAAGCUUCCUAGCUCGCAUGGUAAAUGACCGACGAAACUGUUCCGGCUCAGGUCGAGUCGUUGAAGCAUCUUGCAGUUGGAGAUCUCCGAAGGGAUAGGUCCGGUUAGAGAGUUUGACGAGACGUUGAAAGUGACUAAGUUGGAGAGUUUGCUGAUUUCUUUAGGUAGGCUUGAGGAGAACCGGUUAGCUGCGAGGUGAAGCCUUUGAAGCUUCUGGCAAAUCUCUAUCUUGGCAGGUAACGGUCCGCUAAACCGGUUUUGAUCCAGCUCAAUAGCCGAGAGAUUCACAAGCUUGCAUAAAUCUGUUGGGAACUGACCGGUUAGUCGGUUCCCAACUACUCUAAGCUGCUGGAGCGGUUUGCAGGUCAGGACACCCGGCGGGAUUUCUCCGAAUAUCCGGUUCGAACCGAGAUUCAAUAAGAUGAGAUUCGAUUGGUUGCAGAUAGAAGGCGGUAUCUUCCCUGAGAGCUGGUUCUCCGAGAAGUCAACAACCCAUAGAGGACUGUACAUGCCGAGACCCUGAGGGAUCACGCCGCUGAGGGAGUUGUGGAAGAGCUGAAGCUGACGCAUCGAAGUGAGAUUCUCGAAACCGGACGGUAUAGGACCGGUUAAGGAGUUAAUUGAGAGAUCAAGCUUCGCAAGAUUCUUCAAGCUGCUAACCUCGUUUGGUAUGGUUCCGGUUAACUUGUUCUGAAACAAAUACAACAGCUUCAGCUCACUGAUCUUGCUCAGCUCAACUGGGAUCUCUCCUGUCAACAUAUUCUCCGAAAAAUCGAUCUCCAUCGCUCUCGUAAGGUUCCCAAUCUCCCUUGGGAUAGUCCCAUUCAGAACAAAAAAAUUCUAAUAUUAUUUCAAGUUUUCAACCAACUAGGAAUGAUUUAUACGUAUGCUCAUGCUUUCUUUCUUCUAUAGUGACUAUACAAAUCAUAUUUAAUCUAUACAGAAACCAAGUAAGUUAACACGACUGCACCGGUGGAGGUAAAUCGCCGCACGUGGCGGACACAAUCACUUUCCCGGCACGUUCUCCCGACUCUAUCAGCAUCAACACUACUUCCCUCAUCGUAGGUCGAUCAGACGGCGAAGCUUUAGUACAGAGCACAGCAAUUUUCGUAACCGUGAUCAUGUGAGCAAGAAUCACAUCGUCUUCUACCUUUGUUAAAUAAGGAUCAAGUAUCUCACAUGUCAAGGA